CUAAUAACACCUUAAGGAUAAUACGGUACGAUACGGUGAAUACCAGCGAACGGUCUUUGCCGCCAAGUAAUAGCUCACCAUCAACAAUAAAAAUAAUAAAUAUAAAUCAUUUACGGCAUUUAGCGUGCCAAAACAAAAGCAAAAACAAAAAAGCCGAAGUUGAGAAAAAAGUCAAUGUCUUGCUCCCCACUAAAGCUGGAAGGCUAGAAAAAGCACUUGGCAAGCAGCGUGGCAAAAAGAAAGUGCAAAGUAAUUUAAACAAAAAAAAACAAAAAAAAUAAAACCUAAAACAACAAAAACCACUAAUUUCUACGACGUGAAAAAGGUGUGUGUGUAAACUGCUUGUUGUUUGUGUUUUUGUUUUUGUGUGGGAGAGUUGAAAAUUAUUCAGUACACACACAGUAAGCACGCGAGGAAGUCACUCGUCGUCGUCUUACACUGCUUUGGUCGCAACGUAAGUGUUGAAAGCAGCAUUUCCACUACUGGCACCUACAUAAGCGACUGAGCGAGUACAAGUAGGUCUUGGCAGCUGGCAGUUUGGUCUAAGUACAAGUACCAGUACUUAGUUACAUACUUACAUACAUAUUUACACUUACACGGAGUUGACGUUAGCGGCAGUGGCAGCAGGACAGUAAUUUCCUUAGCCUGGAUUUUUUUUUACAUUCUCACACACAGCCACACAUACUCGUACACACGUGCAACAUUCACUUCGUUUGUGGCCGCAGUGCAUGCAAUUCUCACCACAUUGCGUGCAGACAAACAUACAUGCAGAUAUCUGUAUGUUGUUGUAAUUUUUUUUGUUUGGCGCAUUGCUAUGCGCCCGCGUUUGGCAUACAAAUGAAGAAAUAUGAGUGCGCGUUUUUAAACUGAAAAUAUUGUAGAGCAGCACAGCGGUAGCAAAGCAGCAAUAACAAUAAGAAAAACAACAAUAAUAAUAAGAACAACAACAAUAAAAAAAUAAGAAUAACAACAACAACAUUAUUAACAACAAAAACACAUAGCGGCAACAGUGUAAGACCUACACAGUGGGUGCUAAGCGUAUACUAACAAUACCAAAAAAAACACCAGUUUACAACAACAACUGCACGAAAAGUCAAUUCAAGCGCCAUAAAGACAACCCAAACCGCUGGUCCACAGUGACGUCGUUAGCAGCAUUGUCGCCGUUGUCCACAUACUUACACUACACGAGCGCUGUGUUAUAUCCACAUCCGCUGUAGCUGACUACGUCUUCAACUUGUACACCAUCUUCGCCUUCGCCUUCACCCUCAACAUCAUCAUCAUCAUUACCCGGUUCCUAACUCGCCACUGCGUCCGUAUAAUAUUACCAUUGCAUAGCGUGUAUGUGUGUGUGUGAGUGCGCCGCAGGAGCUGCAGCAACGAAGCAAUAUUAGCGCACAAGCAAACGUAGAAAUCAAAUCUCGUGUAGCUUUAAAUGAAAUAUUAAUAUUUGUCAUCAUUCGUUUGGCGAGUUAAGUUGGCUGCAGAACGUUUUUUCCGCCAGCAAAGAAGUCAGUGACGCCGCAGUGUGGGUGACUUGCAAGUUAAAUAUAUUAAGCAAAAGAAAAAAAAAACAGAAAAAAGAAAGUAAAGAGAGCACUAAGACAGGAAGGCAGGAAGUAAAGAGCGCGUUAUACCCGCUACUACAAACAUAACCACUUAACGGACAAGCAUUUAACAAGCACAAGCUUACAAACGAGCACAUACAUACCCUCAAAGAAGCAGGGGUAAAAAUAACAGAAAAAAAAGAAAACGCGAAAAAGCUAAAAUUUCAAAGGCAAAAAAGACGCGACACUUCACAAACUUACGAGUAGUCAUCGUCAGCGUCGUUGCAGUGGUUCAACAGUUUCACUACUUUUUCGUGCUUUUGCAGCAAUUUCAGCGCUUUUUCGUCGUCAGCGCUGCACACUACAAAUUCAUAACUUUGUAAAUACACACAGAAACACUUACAUAUAUAACACACACACACACACACACAUACAUACAUACAUAUACAUAUAUAUUUGUAUGUAUAUGUAUUUGUAAGUCCCGUAAAUAGAUUUGUAACAUAUCCGUCGUUGCAGUGGUGCACGUUGCCGUGACAGUUACAGUUAUAGUGUUUAAGUAGUGUAUAACGUACGUUAUAAGUAAGCAACAACAACAAAAAACCAAUUACAACAAAUUACAACAACAAAACGUUCCUGUGCCAGUGUAUAUGUGUCUAUGUGCUACAAUUUGUAAGCUUAGCAUAUACUCACAUACAUACAUACAAAUAAUUGCUUUUGAGUGCGCGCUUGUCUCACUCUCACCCACUCUCCCUCUGCCGUUCGUUUUGUAUACGCGUGUGUGUGUGUGCGUGAAGGAUAAUACUGCAUCCAAAAUGCGUCUACAAUAUCGCAACAAGAAAGCGACACUGUGGCUGAUGGUCACCGUUGUCGUCGUCACCAUGUUCCUCUUCAAAUUCACCGAAUUCGCACCAACGUGUUUCUUCAAGAAUGACGUGACGGCGCCGGAUGGUUCGCUGAUGGUGCGCGAAGAGAAAUAUGUGAUGGGUGAAGAUCAAAAGACUUAUUCAUAUGGACGCGAAAUGCCGCUAAUAUUUAUUGGCGGUGUGCCCAGAUCGGGGACAACGCUGAUGCGCGCCAUGUUGGAUGCACAUCCGGAUGUGAGAUGUGGCCAGGAGACACGUGUCAUACCACGUAUACUGCAAUUACGCUCACAUUGGAUGAAAUCGGAGAAGGAAUCGAUGCGCCUGAUGGAGGCGGGCAUCACCAAGGAGGUGAUGAACGGUGCCAUAGCGCAAUUUUGUCUCGAAAUCAUCGCUAAACAUGGCGAACCGGCGCCUCGUCUAUGCAAUAAGGAUCCGCUGACGUUAAAGAUGGGCUCCUACGUGAUAGAACUGUUUCCAAAUGCGAAAUUCCUGUUUAUGGUGAGAGAUGGGCGCGCCACAGUGCAUUCAAUCAUCUCGCGCCAUGUAACGAUAACCGGCUUCGAUUUGACCAGCUACCGGCAGUGUAUGCGGAAGUGGAACUUCGCCAUCGAAGUGAUGCACAACCAAUGCAAGGAGAUCGGCAAGGAGCGUUGCAUGAUGGUUUACUAUGAACAAUUGGUUCUGCAUCCCGAGGAGUGGAUGCGAAAAAUAUUGAAAUUCCUGGAUGUGCCAUGGAAUGAUGCGGUGCUGCAUCACGAGGAGUUCAUCAACAAACCAAAUGGUGUGCCGCUCUCCAAAGUCGAGCGCUCCUCGGAUCAAGUUAUCAAACCGGUGAAUUUGGAAGCGCUCUCCAAAUGGGUAGGCAAUAUACCCGAAAAUGUGGUACGUGAUAUGGCCGACAUUGCGCCCAUGUUAUCGGUGCUCGGUUACGAUCCGUAUGCGAAUCCACCGGAUUAUGGUAAGCCAGAUGCUUGGGUACAGGACAAUACUUUUAAGGAUUAAUCAAAUUUCGAUGAAUUGAAGCUUAGUAAAAGCUAAUACUGAGCUUCAUAAGCCGAUUAAGGAAACUCGAUGAUUGACAAAACAAUUUUGUAUUCAAUGGAUGUAAAAACAUAAAAAUGAACUAACAUACUAAUCUACAGGCAACCUGAUAUAUCUGUAUAUGCUGUUUCAAGGAAAUCCCGCCUUAAGUGAAAUAAUAAAACAGGAUAGUUUUCAACGUGAUCACUUUAAAGUAUUUUGCAAAUCUCUUGACAUAACGAAACACUACUGGAAUAAGAACAUAAGCAGAUAGCACUAGCACUGUAAUAGAUAUACAAAA
RNA transcript from Zeugodacus cucurbitae (melon fly), 3728 nucleotides. It is a transcript of the gene named protein-tyrosine sulfotransferase, with no coding region annotated. The transcript has 8 exons. NCBI's taxonomy places the organism in Eukaryota, Metazoa, Arthropoda, Insecta, Diptera, Tephritidae. The record is from RefSeq and is a predicted model, not a curated record.